RNAcentral lists this ribosomal RNA (253 nucleotides) under uncultured bacterium. RNAcentral describes it as "partial 16S ribosomal RNA". It matches the Rfam family "Bacterial small subunit ribosomal RNA", at positions 524 to 776 of the family's 1533-position model. The record is from RNAcentral.
UACGAAGGGGGCUAGCGUUGCUCGGAAUCACUGGGCGUAAAGCGCACGUAGGCGGCUUUCUAAGUCAGGGGUGAAAUCCUGGAGCUCAACUCCAGAACUGCCUUUGAUACUGGAGAGCUUGAGUCCGGGAGAGGUGAGUGGAACUCCGAGUGUAGAGGUGAAAUUCGUAGAUAUUCGGAAGAACACCAGUGGCGAAGGCGGCUCACUGGCCCGGUACUGACGCUGAGGUGCGAAAGCAUGGGGAGCAAACAGG